Non-coding RNA from Ciona intestinalis (vase tunicate), 531 nucleotides. The record is from RefSeq and is a predicted model, not a curated record. Lineage: Eukaryota; Metazoa; Chordata; Ascidiacea; Phlebobranchia; Cionidae.
AUCUGAAAGCCAGCGAAGUUUUAGUUUUGCCGUCAACCAGCACAAUUAAAAGUUACAGGUACAAUGAUGCUUAGUAAUAACUGACUUUUACAAGAGCCCUGCAAUAAUCCUAUUUUAAUUUGAAGAAAUCAGAUUGCACCGGAACCUGGUUUAAAUUAUCAGGCAAUUGGACAAGUGAAAAAAGUAAAGCAAAAUUACAAAUGUUUGCCAGGCUAUGUAACAAUGGAUGAGAUAAAAAUUCGUGAAAGUCUAGUAAUCCAUGAAGGAAAACUUGUCGGAUUGGUUGAUUGGGGUGAACCUGACACAAAUAAAUUGGCAACACACAUUCUUGUGUUUUACGUAAGAACUAUUAAAAGAGAGAUUUCGUUGCCAAUUGCUUGGUUUCCCACCAGCUCAACACCAGCUAACGAGUUAGCAUUAAUGUUUUGGCAAGUGUUGUUUGAGUUGGAGAAGAUUGGAGUACAAAUAUAUGCACUGGUGGUUGAUGGGAAUUCUAUAAACAGAAAAUGUUUUUUAUUGCUAAGUGGUCAG